AAGAAGAGACAAAUAGGUAUUAUUGGGCUUCCGUUACGGGAGACGCAGGCAUCUCGUUAAAAAAAGAAGGAUGCCAGUUCAAUGAUGAAGCUGCGAACCUGCGACGAAGGCCGAGGUUUCGAAACAGCUUGCAUGUGAGGGACACAUGAGGGCAGCAUUCAACAACAUAAACACGCGACUCUUGAAAAUCUGGCGCUACCCGUAUUCUUCCGAGUGGCUGAAAACUUUCUUAUUACGUCAGUAUCAGUACUACAAGUUUGUUUUAAUUAAAGUGUGUUUGUGGUCCAACGUAAUAACACCAAAAUGGAUGAGAAGCAGGGACCAACUUCUGAUGAUGUCCCAACUGGGGAGUCAACAUCAACCACAGUUACGGAGGGUGAUGUUGGCAAGAUGCCAACAGAUGUGGCCAUCACUAUGGAUGCUAUUCCCAAUGAAGAUAAGGAGGACAAAUCCAAAGGUCUUGACCCACAAGAUAACCAUUCCACCAGCACCUCUGAU
This is a long non-coding RNA of Patiria miniata (bat star), 498 nucleotides long. RefSeq lists it as uncharacterized. The record is from RefSeq and is a predicted model, not a curated record. The transcript is spliced from 3 exons. NCBI's taxonomy places the organism in Eukaryota, Metazoa, Echinodermata, Asteroidea, Valvatida, Asterinidae.